RNAcentral lists this ribosomal RNA (253 nucleotides) under uncultured bacterium. RNAcentral describes it as "partial 16S ribosomal RNA". It matches the Rfam family "Bacterial small subunit ribosomal RNA", at positions 524 to 776 of the family's 1533-position model. The record is from RNAcentral.
UACGAAGGGGGCUAGCGUUGUUCGGAAUCACUGGGCGUAAAGGGCGCGUAGGCGGCUUUAUAAGUCGGGGGUGAAAGCCUGUGGCUCAACCACAGAAUUGCCUUCGAUACUGUAGAGCUUGAGACCGGAAGAGGUAAGUGGAACUGCGAGUGUAGAGGUGAAAUUCGUAGAUAUUCGCAAGAACACCAGUGGCGAAGGCGGCUUACUGGUCCGGAUCUGACGCUGAGGCGCGAAAGCGUGGGGAGCAAACAGG